Oxyura jamaicensis (ruddy duck) is the source of this 602-nucleotide long non-coding RNA. RefSeq lists it as uncharacterized. The record is from RefSeq and is a predicted model, not a curated record. The transcript has 2 exons. Lineage: Eukaryota; Metazoa; Chordata; Aves; Anseriformes; Anatidae.
CUGCUCUUCUGGGAUACAGGAGCCCCAGCUGGGCCAGGCCAGGAAGGAGUUAAUUGUGCCCUCGAGGCACCAAUUAUCUCCAGCUAAUUGCACCCUCUGACUGCCCCCAGGGAGGGAGCCCACAGCUGGGAGGAGGCCAAUGGCCACGGCCUGUGCUGGAGCUGGGGGGAACUGCUUGGUGGGUCUGGAGGUGAUUUGGGGCAAAAGUUUCCCUGGUCUGGACCAGCCCCAGCUCAGUGCUCAGCCACAAGAUCUGCUACGGGCAGGGCUGAGAGCCUGGGAUGUCUUCGGCGGCACCGGAGGGUGCGGGAUGAGGAGCCCCUGGCUGUGCGCGAGCUCAGCCGUCCUCCUGCCAGAGUGCCCUGGCGUGUCAUUGUCACCUCCUCCUGCGUGAAGAGCUUGGCGUGAGUCAUCUCCCAGCUAAAUGCAGUGUGUGGGCUCGCUGUAGCUUCGGGCUGUUCAUCCUCUGCUUCCUGGAGCCUGACACGGGGUAAAACAGCGAUUCAUCAGCGCGGGGACGAGGCGAGAUGAAUGUCCUGUGCCGCAGCGCAGGCCUUGCUCCCCUCCUACCCGAGUGCUCCAGCGAGGAGCGCUGAAGUGCU